GGACGAACGCUGGCGGCGUGCUUAACACAUGCAAGUCGAACGGAAAGGCCCUGCUUUUGUGGGGUGCUCGAGUGGCGAACGGGUGAGUAACACGUGAGUAACCUGCCCUUGACUUUGGGAUAACUUCAGGAAACUGGGGCUAUUACCGGAUAGGAGCUCCUGCUGCAUGGUGGGGGUUGGAAAGUUUCGGCGGUUGGGGAUGGACUCGCGGCUUAUCAGCUUGUUGGUGGGGUAGUGGCUUACCAAGGCUUUGACGGGUAGCCGGCCUGAGAGGGUGACCGGCCACAUUGGGACUGAGAUACGGCCCAGACUCCUACGGGAGGCAGCAGUGGGGAAUAUUGCACAAUGGGCGGAAGCCUGAUGCAGCAACGCCGCGUGCGGGAUGACGGCCUUCGGGUUGUAAACCGCUUUCGCCUGUGACGAAGCGUGAGUGACGGUAAUGGGUAAAGAAGCACCGGCUAACUACGUG
This 469-nucleotide ribosomal RNA is filed under the name uncultured bacterium. Its description in RNAcentral is "partial 16S ribosomal RNA". It matches the Rfam family "Bacterial small subunit ribosomal RNA", at positions 27 to 507 of the family's 1533-position model. The record is from RNAcentral.